Osmia lignaria (orchard mason bee) is the source of this 2598-nucleotide RNA transcript. It is a transcript of the gene named rab-like protein 6, with no coding region annotated. Lineage: Eukaryota; Metazoa; Arthropoda; Insecta; Hymenoptera; Megachilidae. The record is from RefSeq and is a predicted model, not a curated record.
UUUUAAAUGUUAUUACCAACAUUAUGAGAAAAAAAUACAGCUGGCUAAGUGACAGCUGCUUAACUUUUAUUAGAUCGGUUAUGUGUUUUAAAUGAAUUUUUAUCCAUGAAAAAGUUAAAAUAACAUGUGAUAUUUGUUCAUAAAUUAUUAAGGAAAACAUAUUUUCCUAAGUUAUUAUUGGCUCAGUGGAAGAACAUUGUACAAUGUUCUCUGCAUUUAAAAGAUUAGCUGGAAAAUCAGAUGGAGUUGGCAAUGUAUCUCCUAGACCGGCUCAUCAAUCUAUGCCAACUACGUUGCAAAGAAAAUUUGCUAAAGGUGUACAAUAUAAUAUGAAAAUUAUUGUAAAGGGUGAUAGAAAUGUGGGAAAAACUUGUCUAUUUCAUAGACUUCAGGGCCAAAAAUUUAUAGAAGAAUAUAUACCAACAGAAGAAAUACAAGUGACUAGCAUUCAAUGGAAUUAUAAAGCUACUGAUGAUAUUGUUAAAGUUGAAGUUUGGGAUGUUGUAGAUAAAGGUCGACGUAGAAAAAAGUUAGAAGGUUUAAAAAUGGAUAAUUCACCUGCAGAGAAUAUUAUUGAGGAGCCUGCUUUAGAUGCAGAGUUUCUUGAUGUUUAUAAAGGGACCAAUGGUGUUAUCAUUAUGAUGGACAUUACAAAAUCUUGGACAUUUGAUUAUGUACAAAGAGAACUUCCAAAAAUUCCUAGUCAUAUUCCAGUGAUUGUCUUAGGAAAUCAUUGUGAUAUGGCGCAUCACAGAACGGUUACAUCAGAUCAUGUAACAUACUUUAUUGAUUCUUUACAUGAAAGAACAGCACAAGUGAGAUAUGCAGAAUCAUCUAUGAGAAAUGGAUUUGGAUUAAAACUUUUGCACAAAUUUUUUAAUCUUCCAUUUCUUCAACUGCAACGAGAAACGUUAUUAAAACAACUUGAUACCAAUGAGGAAGAAACACGUUUGACAGUACAGGAACUCGACCUCUUUCAGGAUAGCGACGAUGCCAAUUAUAAUAAAUUCUUGGAUAAUCUCGUUAACCGAAGAAGAGCCCUUGCUGAUUCUGUUUCUGCCACCACUCUAGUCCCUAAUAUCACAUCUUCUUUGAGUAAUCAUCAUAUGUUAUCUUCAAAUGGUAAUACGAAUACAAAUAUUGAAGUUAAAAGAUCAAUUUCCAUGCCUGGACCUAUAGGAGGUGGAACUCCUAUUCCAGUUAAAAGCAUAGAUUUAAAAUCACCACCAAAGAAGGACACUUUUAUAAAUACCUUGGAAAAUCAAGCAGUUCCUAUUAGAAAUUCGCAGACGAUAUCGGCAUUAUCGGCUGUACAAAAUAUUUCAAAGACAGAUCCUAAAAUGACUGAACUUUUAAAUGAUAAUUCUGAUAGAAGAGAUUCUAUUAAUAAAUCACAAUCUCUUAUGUCAAAGAUAUUUGGUAAUAAUAAAAAGGAAGAUGAAAUAGACAAAGGAAUACAUGUUAACAGUACAAGUGCAAACGUACCACUCACUAGUGUUGAAGAUUUUAUACCGGAUGACGGGCUCUUAGAUCGAUCGUUCCUAGAAGAUAACAGUCAUGUGUCGCCACAAAAAGUACAACACGAAGAAGCGGAUACUGAAAGUGACAUUGAAACGGCGAAUCCUUUGGUUGCUGGUUACGAGGACGAUUUAUCAUCGGCUGAUGAGACAACACCUCCUAUUCAACCAAAAUUAGCUGAAAAUCCUUUGAGCAAACAGAAACACAAACGCGAGACAUUAUCAAAUACGGAAAUAAAUUCGGAACAAUUACGACAAACUGUGAAACGCGAUUCUGUUUCAUCCAUAGAUCAAGAAAUAGAAAUAUCUAACAACUAUGAUGUAAAUGAGCAGCCGGAAAUUAAUUCUGAUGCGUUUGAUAGCUGGCUCCGACGAGAUUCUAAAUGGAGACAAAGCCCUGAAGGCGGGGAAGAUGUGAGCAGUAAUAGUACUAGAAAAGAUAGACUGGAAUUGAGCGACAAAAGUUUAGAUGUUAGCGUAACAAGUUCUAAUGUUCAUUUAGAAUUGCUCGAUAAUACCAGUGUACGUCAUAUGAGUUCUGAUGGUGGUAGUCCUGUACUAAAAGAAAAGAAAAAACACAAAGAGAAGACGGAAGACAAAGAAAAAAAGAAAAAGAAAAAAUCUAAAGAUAAAGAAAAAGAUAAGGAGAAAACAGAUAAAGGAGAAAAAAAAAAGAAACGUUCGCUACAUCGUUCAAAGGAUGAAAAUAGAGAACGCGAUGAACUUGAAGAAUUUCUAAAUGGUUCUGUUACUAGAAUUGGUGUUGAUGUUGCCUAUGAAGCAAUAUAGCAGUUUUAAAUAUUGUUUAAUCUUACUACUAAUUAGUAACGCUGACUUCUGAUACUUCAAAGCAAGCAGUAUAUCAUGUAAAAAUUUUGUUGAAAUUCUUUAUAUGGUAAAAUAACGUUAAAAAUCAUAACAAAGAAGUUCUAGUAAAGUGAUUUUCAAUCUGAAAUUUUUAAUUUAAAUUAGCAUUCCGUUCGCAUCUAACAUGAAAAUGUAUAUUUUUUCAAAUUCAUAAACAUUUUAUCAUUGCAUUUUCAAAAUAAUUACAGCUGAUUAUAUUUGAGCUAUUUACUUU